GGGCCUGUGGUCUAGUCGUUAUGACGUCUCCCUUACACGGAGAAGGUCGUAGGUUCAAAUCCUACCAGGCCCA
Molecule: transfer RNA, 73 nt
Filed under: Candidatus Naiadarchaeales archaeon SRR2090153.bin1042
Lineage: Archaea; Nanobdellati; Candidatus Undinarchaeota; Candidatus Undinarchaeia; Candidatus Naiadarchaeales
Description: tRNA-Val
Rfam family: tRNA
About the family: Transfer RNA (tRNA) molecules are approximately 80 nucleotides in length.
Source: RNAcentral